GAGGGUGUAGCUCAAUCAGUAAAGUGCAUGCUUAGCAUGCAUGAGGUCCUGGGUUCAAUCCCCAGUACCUCCU
This 73-nucleotide transfer RNA is filed under the name Camelus dromedarius (Arabian camel). It matches the Rfam family "tRNA". Rfam says of the family: Transfer RNA (tRNA) molecules are approximately 80 nucleotides in length. RNAcentral also lists the same sequence under 1 other name. Lineage: Eukaryota; Metazoa; Chordata; Mammalia; Artiodactyla; Camelidae. The record is from Rfam by way of RNAcentral.